UAGGGAAUCUUCCGCAAUGGACGAAAGUCUGACGGAGCAACGCCGCGUGAGUGAAGAAGGAUUUCGGUUCGUAAAACUCUGUUGUUAGGGAAGAAAAAAUGUAUAGUAACUAUAUACAAAAGAGACGGUACCUAACCAGAAAGCCACGGCUAACUACGUGCCAGCAGCCGCGGUAAUACGUAGGUGGCAAGCGUUGUCCGGAAUUAUUGGGCGUAAAGCGCGCGCAGGUGGUUUAGAAAGUCUGAUGUGAAAGCCCACGGCUCAACCGUGGAGAGUCAUUGGAAACUAAUAAACUUGAGUGCAGGAGAGAAAAGGGGAAUUCCUAGUGGAGCGGUGAAAUGCGUAGAGAUUAGGAGGAACACCGGUGGCGAAAGCGGCUUUUUGGCCUGCAAAAGGCACUGAGGCGCGAAAGCGUGGGGAGCAAAAAGG
This 429-nucleotide ribosomal RNA is filed under the name Verrucomicrobiota bacterium. Its description in RNAcentral is "Verrucomicrobia bacterium partial 16S ribosomal RNA". It matches the Rfam family "Bacterial small subunit ribosomal RNA", at positions 355 to 776 of the family's 1533-position model. The record is from RNAcentral. Lineage: Bacteria; Pseudomonadati; Verrucomicrobiota.